CCUACGGGUGGCAGCAGUGAGGAAUAUUGGUCAAUGGGCGCGAGCCUGAACCCGCCAAGUAGCGUGAAGGAUGACUGCCCUACGGGUUGUAAACUUCUUUUAUAAAGGAAUAAAGUGAGGCACGUGUGCCUUUUUGUAUGUACUUUAUGAAUAAGCAUCGGCUAACUCCGUGCCAGCAGCCGCGGUAAUACGGAGGAUCCGAGCGUUAUCCGGAUUUAUUGGGUUUAAAGGGUGCGUAGAGGGGUUGUUAAGUCAGCUGUGAAAUUUUGCGGCUCAACCGUAAAAUUGCAAUUGAUACUGGCAGUCUUGAGUACAGUAGAGGUAGGCGGAAUGCGUGGUGUAGCGGUGAAAUGCUUAGAUAUCACGAAGAACUCCGAUUGCGAAGGCAGCAUACUAACCUGCCACUGACAUUGAUGCUCGAAAGUGUGGGUAUCAAACAGGAUUAGAUACCCGAGUAGUC
Molecule: ribosomal RNA, 460 nt
Filed under: uncultured bacterium
Lineage: Bacteria
Description: partial 16S ribosomal RNA
Rfam family: Bacterial small subunit ribosomal RNA
Source: RNAcentral